CAGCACCCUUCAUAUGAAAAUGACCUUUCAAUGCAUUUCAUUUCUUAGUCAGAAGUAGUUUGCGAUAGGUCUUCACAUGUGUAAUCUUUUAAAAUAAGGAUGACUCGUUCGAGAAGUAGACGGUACACCAAAAGGUUGAGUAGUGUCCAGAACUGUCUAAUACUGCUUAGCGAACAUGCUUGAAGAAAUAGUAUCGAGAUGGAAUUUAUGCAUCUUUGUAUUGGAUGGAAAGGUAGAUGGAGAAGAAGUGAGAGGGCCAGUGAAAGGUUUCAAAAAGCUUCUGAUUUUGCUCUUUACAACUUGACUUGAUCAUGACAGGUUUUGUUUAGCAUUUGCCUAUAAUUAUAGCUCGGUGUUCAAACCAAAUCUGCAUUUAAAUAUAUACUACAAGUAGCAUCCUCCAUAAGAUGCACUAUUCGACAGCGAAUCCUUUUUAAUUGAGAAGAAUGAUGCAGUUAGCUGCCAA
Molecule: long non-coding RNA, 466 nt
Filed under: Olea europaea (common olive)
Lineage: Eukaryota; Viridiplantae; Streptophyta; Magnoliopsida; Lamiales; Oleaceae
Description: long non-coding RNA (OEUR_LNC013614)
Source: RNAcentral